This 489-nucleotide ribosomal RNA is filed under the name uncultured bacterium. RNAcentral describes it as "bacterial SSU rRNA". It matches the Rfam family "Bacterial small subunit ribosomal RNA", at positions 8 to 518 of the family's 1533-position model. The record is from RNAcentral.
AGGGUUCGAUUCUGGCUCAGAACGAACGCUGGCGGCAUGGAUUAGGCAUGCAAGUCGAACGGGAGCAGCAAUGCUCCAGUGGCGCAAGGGUGAGGAACACGUGAACAACCUGCCUUCGAGUUGGGGAUAGCUUCUGGAAACGGGAGAUAAUACCGAAUAACAUCUUCGGAUCGCAUGAUCCGGGGAUCAAAGCAGCAAUGCGCUUGAAGAGGGGUUCGCGUCCCAUUAGCUAGUUGGUGAGGUAACGGCCCACCAAGGCGAUGAUGGGUAGCUGGUCUGAGAGGACGAUCAGCCACAUUGGGACUGAGAUACUGCCCAGACUCCUACGGGAGGCUGCAGUCGAGAAUUUUGGGCAAUGGACGAAAGUCUGAACCCCCAGCAAUGCCGCGUGCGGGAUGAAGGUCUUCGGAUUGUAAACCGCUGUCAAGAGGGACGAAAUUUGACGGUACCUCUGGAGGAAGCCACGGCUAACUACGUGCCAGCCGCCGC